CAAAAGUUAGCCAGGCGUGGUGGUAUGUGCCUGUAGUCCCAGCUACUUGGGAGGCUGAGGCAGGAGACUUGCUUGCACUCGGGAAGCGGAGGUAGUAGUGAGAGGCGCUGAACCAGGGAGGCGCAGACUGCUGUGGUCCGAGAUCGCGCCGCUGCACUCCAGCCUCGGCGACAGAAUGAGACUUCGUCUCUGAAACA
Sapajus apella (tufted capuchin) is the source of this 197-nucleotide long non-coding RNA. RefSeq lists it as uncharacterized. The transcript has 2 exons. The record is from RefSeq and is a predicted model, not a curated record. NCBI's taxonomy places the organism in Eukaryota, Metazoa, Chordata, Mammalia, Primates, Cebidae.